CAGUAGCCGCGGUAAUACGAAGGGGGCUAGCGUUGUUCGGAUUUACUGGGCGUAAAGCGCACGUAGGCGGAUCCUUAAGUCAGAGGUGAAAUCCCAAGGCUCAACCUUGGAACUGCCUUUGAUACUGGGGAUCUCGAGUCCGGGAGAGGUGAGUGGAACUGCGAGUGUAGAGGUGAAAUUCGUAGAUAUUCGCAAGAACACCAGUGGCGAAGGCGGCUCACUGGCCCGGAACUGACGCUGAGGUGCGAAAGCGUGGGGAGCAAACAGGAUUAGAUACCCCAGUAGUCCCUGUCUCUUAUAC
This 301-nucleotide ribosomal RNA is filed under the name uncultured bacterium. RNAcentral describes it as "partial 16S ribosomal RNA". It matches the Rfam family "Bacterial small subunit ribosomal RNA", at positions 509 to 807 of the family's 1533-position model. The record is from RNAcentral.